Molecule: ribosomal RNA, 348 nt
Filed under: Aglaodiaptomus leptopus
Lineage: Eukaryota; Metazoa; Arthropoda; Copepoda; Calanoida; Diaptomidae
Description: partial 16S ribosomal RNA
Source: RNAcentral
UAGCUCUUUUAUUGAGAGAUAGAAUGAACGGUGCCACUAAAAUAGAUUGUUUCUUCGUUAACUUGAAUUUUUUGUUAAGUGAAAAGACUUAAAUGCCUCCUUUAGACGAUAAGACCCUAUGAAGCUUUAUUACUAUGUAAUUUUUUUGGGGCAAACUAUAAUAAUUAUUAUUAUUCUGGAGCUGCUUUUUGAUCUUUUUGAAUUUAAAGAAUAAGCUACUCUAGGGAUAACAGCAUAAUUUUUAUAAAAGUUCUCAUUAAAAUAAAAGAUUGUGACCUCGAUGUUGAAUUAAGAAAAAUAAUUUGUGCAGAAGCUAAUUAUUUUUAGUCUGUUCGACUAAAUUUUCUU